GUCAGGUUGAAACAGCUUUCACUUUGUGCCCGUUAUUCUCCAAUCGCUCCUCCAGAUCAUUCACUUCUCCAUCCUGCUCGAUGGCCCUGAUGGUGACCUCUACAGAAUGCAUCAGCUGAGAUGCCCUUCUGGAUUUGGGUGGAGUUUGGUCAGGAGACGUUGUCAGCAGAUAACCAGAGGAGGGGGAGAGAGAGUGUUUAAGAAACUGAGGCCUUGGAGACCCACCGCACUGCCCAAGGUCACGGACGAUGUUGC
Molecule: long non-coding RNA, 255 nt
Filed under: Equus caballus (horse)
Lineage: Eukaryota; Metazoa; Chordata; Mammalia; Perissodactyla; Equidae
Description: lncRNA (ENSECAG00000046697.1)
Source: RNAcentral